GAAAGCAGAGGGGAAGGAAAAAGACGGAGGCCCACCGCAAAAGCCCAAAAGGACCUCACCUUCUUCAUCGUCUUCGUUGUUUAUGUUCAUCUCGAUCGGUUGUGAAAACCCUAAAUUAAGGUCGGCGAUUGUAGGAUUGUGGUGGAUCUGUUUUGAUCAGUCAACGUGAUGACUUCUUUAAGCAGAGAGCUGGUGUUUUUGAUACUCCAGUUCUUAGAUGAAGAGAAGUUCAAGGAAACUGUGCACAAGUUGGAGAAGGAGUCGGGUUUCUUCUUCAACAUGAGGUAUUUUGAGGAUUCGGUUACUAAUGGAGAGUGGGAUGAGGUGGA
Molecule: unclassified non-coding RNA, 329 nt
Filed under: Hevea brasiliensis (rubber tree)
Lineage: Eukaryota; Viridiplantae; Streptophyta; Magnoliopsida; Malpighiales; Euphorbiaceae
Source: RNAcentral